RNAcentral lists this long non-coding RNA (236 nucleotides) under Trifolium pratense (red clover). RNAcentral describes it as "long non-coding RNA (TPRA_LNC013828)". Lineage: Eukaryota; Viridiplantae; Streptophyta; Magnoliopsida; Fabales; Fabaceae. The record is from RNAcentral.
AAGCAGCGGCAAUGAUGAGCAAAUAGUGGCAGACAAGGAGUAUAGGUAAUACAGACAACAAAUACCUAAUAAUAAAAAUGGUAAUAAGGAUAAUAUUGGAAUUUUAAAAUAUAUUGAGGAUAAUUUUGUCAGUUUAAUAAACUUUGAAAAAGCUUCCCUCCCCUCACCUCCAAAUCCCCCCGAUUUGGGGGGAAGCAAAAAUUGAGUUUAUGAGGGAUUCUGCUUACCUCCCCUCC